UACGAAGGGGGCUAGCGUUGUUCGGAAUUACUGGGCGUAAAGCGCACGUAGGCGGAAUGUUAAGUCAGGGGUGAAAUCCCGGGGCUCAACCCCGGAACUGCCUUUGAUACUGGCAUUCUCGAGUCCGGAAGAGGUGAGUGGAAUUCCGAGUGUAGAGGUGAAAUUCGUAGAUAUUCGGAGGAACACCAGUGGCGAAGGCGGCUCACUGGUCCGGUACUGGACGCUGAGGUGCGAAAGCGUGGGGAGCAAACAGGG
This 255-nucleotide ribosomal RNA is filed under the name uncultured bacterium. RNAcentral's name for it is "partial 16S ribosomal RNA". It matches the Rfam family "Bacterial small subunit ribosomal RNA", at positions 524 to 777 of the family's 1533-position model. The record is from RNAcentral.